AUCUAAUUUUAAAUUAUGGUACCUGUGGCUUAACUUCGAUUCGCUUCGGUAUAUUCCUUAACGUAUGGGCGGCCUAACCACAUCCGUCUUCCGGUACGCGGUCUCCACUCGGCAACUAUUUGACUCCAGCGGCAAUCUGUGACAAUUAGUACGAUAAACGCAUGUAAAAGGAAGACAAGCAAAUGUUAUUAAUGAAAUAACCGUUUUUUAACUCUCUUUAUAUUACCAAUAAUUAAAUAUUCAAGCCCGUCUAAAACUCAUAAUCACGACAUCUAUUGUUAAGUAGCGGAACUAGGUUGACUUUUGAAUGCUAGAUGGCGGUGGCAGUACUAUAAGUACAAUCGAAUUUAAAAGAACAACCUGUGCACAUUCAUAAUUCAGUCAUAAAUUAAUUAUUAUCAUCUAGAUCUUAUGUAUAUACUGUAUGUUUACUUCUAGUAGUAUAUAAAAGAUAGUUUGGUAAUAAGUAGGAGCAGCAGGUAAGUGCUUAAAAUGUACGGUAUAAUGCCUGUCUUCAAAGAAGUGUUUCCGAAGAUUGUGUUUAAAAAAAACACAAAUUACAAAUUAUUACGAGCGACUGACAUUUUAAAAAUUUACAUAAAGUUCCCUUUCUUUUAAAGUUGAUUAAAAAAUACACAUAAAGGAAUCCGGAACAACUACAUGAAAAUUUGAAAUGCAAACUUUAACAUCAUCAAACUUUCAAUGAGGUUGCAAACCUUAUCCAAAAAGUUUUAGUGAAAAUUUAAGAUAUGUGUAUAAAAAAAAACUACUUCUCAAAGAACUAUUAAGUCUUAUUACAUUACGACUGUUCGUGCUAGAACGCUAUAAUGAUUAACAAUAUCAAUAAGACUAAGAAGACAGAAAAUGAAUGGUAUAGCACGCGCCUUAUUCACAGACCAGGAUACAAGUUGAAUAGAACUCUUAACCCAAAAACAAUAAUUGUCUCUGGGCUGUCACUCUGUUGCCAUCUACAAUAAUGUAUAUUUUUUAAUACGCUUUUAUUAGCGUAUGUAUGUUAGUAUGUUAGCUUUUGUACAAUAAAAUGCUUUUUUUUACUAUGAAA
Molecule: long non-coding RNA, 1063 nt
Organism: Bombyx mori (domestic silkworm)
Lineage: Eukaryota; Metazoa; Arthropoda; Insecta; Lepidoptera; Bombycidae
Exons: 2
Source: RefSeq, a predicted model, not a curated record